Molecule: ribosomal RNA, 460 nt
Filed under: uncultured bacterium
Lineage: Bacteria
Description: partial 16S ribosomal RNA
Rfam family: Bacterial small subunit ribosomal RNA
Source: RNAcentral
CCUACGGGGGGCAGCAGUGAGGAAUAUUGGUCAAUGGGCGGAAGCCUGAACCAGCCAAGUAGCGUGCAGGAUGACGGCCCUCCGGGUUGUAAACUGUUUUUAUACGGGAAUAACGCGCCUUACGUGUAGGGCUUUGCAUGUACCGUAUGAAUAAGGACCGGCUAAUUCCGUGCCAUCAGCCGCGGUAAUACGGAAGGUCCGGGCGUUAUCCGGAUUUAUUGGGUGUAAAGGGAGCGUCGGCCGCGGGUCAAGCGUGCUGUGAAAUGUCCGGGCUCAACCCGGGCCUUGCAGCGCGGACUGGCGUGCGUGAGUCCGCGGAAGGCAGGCGGAAUUCGACGUGUAGCGGUGAAAUGCUUAGAGAUGGCGAAGAACCCCGAUUGCGAAGGCAGCUUGCUGCAGCGGAACUGACGCUGAGGCUCGAAAGCGCGGGUAGCGAACAGGAUUAGAUACCCGUGUAGUC